UUCACAAUAGCCAGGACAUGGAAACAACCCAAAUGUCCAUCGACAGAUGAUUGGAUUCGGAAGAUGUGGUAUAUAUACACAAUGGAAUACUACUCAGCCAUAAAAAAGAAUGACAUAAUGCCAUUUGCAGCAACAUGGAUGGAACUAGAGAAUCUCAUCCUGAGUGAAAUGAGCCAGAAAGACAAAGACAAAUACCAUAUGAUAUCACUUAUAACUGGAAUCUAAUAUCCAGCAGAAAUGAACAUCUCCUCAGAAAAGAAAAUCAUGGACUUGAAGAAAAGACUUGUGGCUGCCUGAUGGGAGGGGGAGGGAGUGGGAGGGAUCGGGAGCUUGGGGUUAUCAGACACAGCUUAGAAUAGAUUUACAAGGAGAUCCUGCUGAAUAGCAUUGAGAACUUUGUCUAGAUACUCAUGUUGCAACAGAAGAAAGGGUGGGGAAAAAAUGUAAUUGUAAUGUAUACAUGUAAGGAUAACUUGAUCCCCUUGCUGUACAGUGGGAAAAUAAAAAAAAAAAAUAAAAAAAAAGAAAGGAGUUAGUGGUAAGGGCAUUAAGCCAGAAAUCCAGAAGAUUUAAGAUUCAUGUCCUAGCUUAACAAUUUUCUGGUUGUGCAGCCUUAGAUAAGUCAUUUCACCUCUUUGAGUCUGUUCCUUGAAUUAUAAGAUGACUGGUUUGGAUUGAAAGAUCAUCUUCUAGCACAGCAAAGGAUGCCAUAAACAAAACAACAAGGCAACCUACGGAAUGGGAGAAAAUUUUUGCAAAUGAUGAUACCAACAAAGCCUUAAUCUCCAAAAUAUACAAAUAACUCAUACAACUCAACAACAACAACAAACAACCCAAUUGAAAAAUGGGCAGGAGACCUAAAUAGACAUUCUCCAAAGCCGAUAUUCAGAUUGGCCAGUAAGAACAUGAAAAGAUGCUUAACAUUGCUAAUUAUGAGGGAAAUGCAAAUCAAAACUUCAAUGAAGUAUCACCUCACACUUAUCAGAAUAUGGCCAUCAUUAAUAAGUCUACAAAUAACAAAUGCUGGAGAGGGUGUGGAGAAAAGGGAACCCCUCCUACACUGUGGGAAUGUAAAUUACUACAACCACUAUGGAAAACAGAAUAGAGGUUCCUCAGAAAACUAAACAGAGAACUACCAUAUGAUCCAGCAGUCCCACUUCUAGGCAUAUAUCCAGACAAAACAAGGCAAAAAGACACAUGCACCCCUUUGUUCAUAGCAGUACUAUUCACAAUACCCAAGACAUGAAAACAACCUAAAUUUCCAUCAACAGAUGAUUGGAUUAAGAAGAUGUGGUACAGGAGUUCCUGCUGUGGCACAGCAGGUUAGAACUCUCUGUUGUCAUUGCAGUUGCUUGGGUCACUGCUGUGGCACUGGUUUAAUCCCUGGCCUGGGAACUUCCACAUGCCGCAGGAGCGGCCCUAGAAAAGGCAAAAAGACACACACACACACACACACACAAAGCUGCUUGCUUUGUCAAAUCCUAUCAGUCUAAAAAUUUCCCCAGAAGCUUUUCUGUUUAAUAUGUUUAUUUGAGCUCCAACCCCACCACAAACACACACAGAGUUGUGAACAUAAUAGGUGUUCAGUAAAUAUGUUGAAUAAAUGGAAGAAAAAAAGGGCACACUGCAGGAGUUCCUGUCAUGGCACAGUGGUAACAAACCUGACUAGUAUCCUUGAGGGUGCAGGUUCGAUUCCUGGCUUUGCUCAGUGGGGUAAGGAUCUGGUGUUGCUGUGAGCCAUGUGGUAGUUUGCGAACGUGGUUCGGAUCUGGCAUAGCUGUGGCUGUGGCGCAGGCCGGCGGCUGCAGCUCUGAUUAGACCCCUAGCCUGGGAACUUCCAUAUUUUAGGGCGGGUGCAGCCCUUAAAAAUCAAAACAAAAAGAAGAAGAAGAAGACACACUGGGAUUUCUUCAGUUUUGUGGCCUCCUUUCUCUCCUAGAGUUCUUGCUUGGAUCAAAAUAGGAAGUGGUAAGGUUGUCACAUGAAUACAAAUCAUGGUGUUGUGAUAAGUGCCAGACUGGCUUCAAGGCAUUAAAGAAGUUAAAGCUUAGUCCUCUCUAUUUCUUUUUCUUUUUUCUUUUUUUCUUUUUGUCUUUUCUAGGGCCGCUCCCACGGCAUAUGGAGGUUCCCAGGCUAGGGGUCCAAUCAGAGCUGUAGCCACCGGCCUACACCAGAGCCCCCGCAACAUGGGAUCUGAGCCGUGUCUGUGACCUACACCACAGCUCAACAGCAACACCGGAUCCUAAACCCACUGAGCAAGGGCAGGGAUCGAACCCGCAACCUCAUGGUUCCUAGUUAGAUUCGUUAACCACUGCGCCACAACGGGAACCCCUAGUCCUCUCUAUUUCUUUCCCAGCAUUCAUAGGUCUGAACAUCAGUUACCCCAUCCUUUGCAACCUCUAUAGAUAGCCUGGCUAGCCUGGUCCUAACCAGAGGCAGGGAUCCCUAGACCUUUUCAUAUUCUAUGUUAAAGAGUUUUCUCUGGGCUUAUUGAAGUAUAUUUUAGGAGAAGUUGAUCAGUUCUUUGGUGUUAUUACCAUUCAGGUAUAUCUCAAAGACUAUAAAAUUGAGAUUGAACAAGCCAUUAUUUCUUAUCAUGGAGAUGAGAGCACGCAUACUUAAAUGAGGGUAAUAAUGGAAUUGCGGGAUCUUCUUUACUGGGUACUGUUUUUCUUGGCCAGCCUGACAUGCAGAGUUUCCUGGCCAGGGAUUGAACCCAUGCCACAGCUGUAACCAGAGCCACAGCAGUGACAAUGCCAGAUCCUUAAUCUCCUGAGCCACAAGGAAACUCCACUGAGUACUGUUUUGAAAAGUAGGUAGUCAUGAUCAAUCUACAAAGAUUGCGUUAAACUUAGCACUUGCAUUGGGCAAGUUUAAACUGACAGCUGUAACAAGCAGUCUCCAGCUUCCAGAAGCUUUAGAUAAUGAAAGUUUAUUGCUGACUCAUAUAAGAAUAUAGUGCAAGUAUUCUUGGUUAGCCAGUAAUCCCCCACAUAGUACUGCUGGGACCCAAGUUCUUUCCUUAUUACAGUGCCACCUCUUCUAGAUCUUUGGAGUCCCUUCCAUUAAGUUGCAAGAUAAAAAGAGGGAGAUUGGAAGAGCAGAAAGUUUUCAUAGAACAAGCUUAGAUGCAUGUUAUUUCCCAUCCUCAUUUUAUUGGCCAGAAUUCAGUCAUAUGGCCCCACCUAACUGCAAAGAAGGCUAGGAAAACCAGUCUAGCUGAGUGCCCAAUAAGAAAGGGAACCGGGGUAUAGUGAACACACAGCAGUCUCUGCUACAGCUCUACAUAUGCACUUCCCAUCUAGCAUCAUGGUUUUAGCAGCACUCUGUUAAAAAAAAAAAAAAA
This 3346-nucleotide long non-coding RNA is filed under the name Sus scrofa (pig). RNAcentral's name for it is "lncRNA (ENSSSCG00065006148.1)". Lineage: Eukaryota; Metazoa; Chordata; Mammalia; Artiodactyla; Suidae. The record is from RNAcentral.